This 428-nucleotide ribosomal RNA is filed under the name uncultured bacterium. RNAcentral's name for it is "partial 16S ribosomal RNA". It matches the Rfam family "Bacterial small subunit ribosomal RNA", at positions 354 to 796 of the family's 1533-position model. The record is from RNAcentral.
GUAGGGAAUAUUGCGCAAUGGACGAAAGUCUGACGCAGCGACGCCGCGUGAGUGAUGAAGGCCUUAGGGUCGUAAAGCUCUGUUGAAUGGGAAGAAAAAAAUGACGGUACCAUUCGAUGAAGGACCGGCUAACUUCGUGCCAGCAGCCGCGGUAAUACGAGGGGUCCUAGCGUUGUUCGGAAUCAUUGGGCGUAAAGGGUGUGUAGGUGGCCAUGUAAGUCAGGUGUGAAAGCCCCGGGCUCAACCCGGGAAGUGCACUUGAUACUGCGUGGCUUGAGUACCGAAGAGGGUAGUGGAAUUCCAGGUGUAGUGGUGAAAUACGUAGAUAUCUGGAGGAACACCGGUGGCGAAGGCGGCUACCUGGUCGAGUACUGACACUGAGACACGAAAGCAUGGGGAUCAAACAGGAUUAGAAACCCGAGUAGUCC